UGCUCUUUGUUUUUGGCGAUCCCUUACUUC
Molecule: non-coding RNA, 30 nt
Filed under: Mus musculus (house mouse)
Lineage: Eukaryota; Metazoa; Chordata; Mammalia; Rodentia; Muridae
Source: RNAcentral